RNAcentral lists this ribosomal RNA (261 nucleotides) under uncultured prokaryote. Its description in RNAcentral is "partial 16S ribosomal RNA". It matches the Rfam family "Bacterial small subunit ribosomal RNA", at positions 524 to 784 of the family's 1533-position model. The record is from RNAcentral.
UACGUAGGUGGCGAGCGUUGUCCGGAUUUACUGGGCGUAAAGGGAGCAUAGGCGGACUUUUAAGUGAGAUGUGAAAUACCCGGGCUCAACUUGGGUGCUGCAUUUCAAACUGGAAGUCUAGAGUGCAGGAGAGGAGAAUGGAAUUCCUAGUGUAGCGGUGAAAUGCGUAGAGAUUAGGAAGAACACCAGUGGCGAAGGCGAUUCUCAGGACUGUAACUGACGCUGAGGCUCGAAAGCCUGGGGAGCAAACAGGAUUAGAUA